This 4822-nucleotide long non-coding RNA is filed under the name Homo sapiens (human). RNAcentral's name for it is "HSALNT0347783". Lineage: Eukaryota; Metazoa; Chordata; Mammalia; Primates; Hominidae. The record is from RNAcentral.
UCCCAAUUGAAUUUUUCCUUAAUUUUUUAUUUUUAUGAAAGUUAUUCAUACUCAUAGUUUUACAAAAAAAAAAUCAAAAUAAUAGACAAGGCUGAUAAUAAAUUAUGGGGACUAGAAAAUAAAUGGACUCCUGGACAAACUCCCUUGGGCCUGAUGACCCACCCAGUGAUUGUUUCCCCAGUUCCCAAAUGUAUAAUUAGGAUUGAUAUGCUUGCAAUUGGCACAAAUCCCAUAUUGGGUGUUGGUCUGAAAGUUAAGGUCUAUCAUAGUGUGAAAAAUAAAGAGGAAGUCUCAGAAGCUACCCUCCAUGACAACCAAGAUAGUAAAUCAAUAACUAUCACAUCCCAGGGUGAGGGAUAGAAAAGAUUAGGGACAUUUUAAGGAUCUGAAGCAGGAGCUGGAAAAUUAUGGACCAUGGACAAAGUUGGUGCAUGGCCAGUUUUUACACAGCCUGCAAGCUAAGAAUGGUUUUUACAUUUUUAAAGGUUGUUAAAAAAAAAUAAAAAUAUGCCACAAAGACUGUAUGUGAUCUGCAAAGCCUAAAAUUUUUACCAUCUGGCUCUUUAUAGAAAAAGUCUGUUGUCCCUUUAUCUAAAGGAUGCAGGGAUGUUGGUCCCAGUACAUUGAUUUAAUUCACCUGUUUGGGCCCUGCAGAAACUGAAUGAAUCCCGCCGGUGACUGCAGACUACGAUAAGCUCAACCACAUUAAAGUCCUGAUCCCAGUCUUCAAACCAGAUAUGUAAGUUAUUUUUGAUAAAGUGGGUUAAUAUAACAUCAGAAAUGCAUGCUAUUUUAUUUUUUAAAUAACAAUUUGAAAACAGUUUGUAGUCACAUAGAAGGUACAAUAAUAUACACUUAUACUUUUGCCUCAGGGCUUCUUCUGUCCUCUGCCAUAAUAUAGUCUAAACAUAUUUGCAUCUUGGCAUCCUGCAGAUCAUCAUAUCCAUUCAUUAUAUCAAUGAUUUUAUGUUGAUUAGUGAGAUAAGCCAAAGGCAGACACACUGGAAACCUUGAGAAGACACAUGAGCUCUAGAAGGUGGGAGCUAAAUAUUGUAAAGUUUCAGAGACCAUCCAUAUCUGUAAAAUGUUUACAUAUUUGUGACAAUGAGCAUGCCAAGAUAUCUCUUCAAAGAUAAAGACAAAUUAGUGCACUUUGCACCUCCUGUCACAAAGGAGGCACAAACUCUGGUGGGCCAGAGGACAAAGCAAACUGCAUGAGUAGGCAGCACAGACAUCACUCACUACGGUUACACCAAUGCUCCUUCUUCAGCUUGCAACUAUGGCUGUAUGGGAAGACCCGUGUGACCAGCUAAAGCUGUCUUUUAAAGAGUUAAAAGCCUGAGCUUAAUUUUCAGCUGGGCUGGCUUGGUAUAUGGAGAUGAGCUAAAAUAGAUGGCAAUUGCACUGAAGCCUCAAUCAGGGGUAGUCUUGAAAAACAGUGGCAAGGAAAAAUUCUCCUGACGGGUGGUGUACCUGGUAGACAACUUUGUGGGUAAAGAGAAAUGGCAGGAGAUUAGAAUAUAGAUAGACCUCUAAUUAGGGGUCUGGAAGAAAAAAAAGAAGGGGAAGAUAGGGCCAAGGAGGUCUGGAGUCAAGAAACAGGGAUUAAUAUCCAGGAGUGAACACAAAGUGUGGCAAUCUUUGUACAUGUUAUAUCCGCUAGAGAGAACAUCCUUCUUCAAAGAGACAGUAGACAACGAAGUAGACAAAAUCAUCUGGCCAGCCUCUGUCAUUUGCCACCCUAGUGCUGGCAUGAUGGGCAAAGGAAAGUGACUGAGACAGCGGCAACACAUAACAGCCUGCACUCCCUUUCACCAUGGCUGAUGUAGCACCAUCACUGCCAGCAACAGAGACUGUCACCAAGUCUCCCUUAUGGAGGCUUUUCUUCGGGAUACCUACUGGCCACAGUUGACAAGUUCACAACUGAAUGGAUGGAGCCUUUCAUCCUGGAAGGGUCAGCGGUUUGUUCACACAGGAAUGGAUGCACAUUCAAGUGUGGAGUUGUUUUCUGCCGGCCAGGUCUCAGCCAGCAUUAUUAGCCAAAGGCUUACAGAGAGCUUGAUUCACCAGUACAGGAUCCCACAUAACACUGCAUUGGACCGGGGGCCUACUUUAGAGAAAAGCAAGUGCAGGAGUGGACUCAUGACCAUGAGACUCGAUGGUCACAUCCCAUACACACCACCCAGAAGUUGUCAGCAUAAUAGAGAUUUGGAACGACUUGUUGGGAGCACAGCCAGAACACCAGCUUGGAGUCAACUACAUGAGGAUGACUCAGGACGCUGGAUACAUAUUUAUAUGUGUAGAAAGGACUUUUAUUUGAGUGCAUAACUCUGGUCAAUGUUCCUUUCCUUUUCUGGUUUUGGGUAAGGUUAGGGAUUAACUUAAUAGCAUACCUUAUAGAAAAGUACAGAGUUUUGCCAAAAACAACUGCAAGUGUAACAGUUACAGCCUAUAAAUCAGUCCAUUCAUUGGAAAUCCAUUUUUUAUUUUGUUUUGCUUUAUAAAAAGAAAGAUUGGACAAGGAUCCAGCCCUGUGCAAUAUAGCUGUGAACAACAUAGUUAUUUUAUCAAUCGUUUGCUCUUGUGGACUCAGUGGUAUGUCCUUGUAGAAUUGGAAGUGUGUCUGUGGGUUCCUGGUUUCCUAGGCUUCCGUUGCCCCCCUGGCCUUUGGAGAGUUUCCAGAUGACAUAUUCUUGACUCGUGUUAAUGGCCUAAAUUUGUCUACUGUGCAAUUUACUAGCUGGAUUAAAAGUAAUAAAGGUUUUUUUUUGUCGUUAAGAAUUUAAGUUAAAGUUUUGUUUGGAAAUAAUACAUCAACUUUUCUUCUAACACUGUUAAGUCUGAGUUGAGAAUAACUUAUUUAGCCAAAUUCCCUCUAAAGAUGUAAGCUCUUCAUUCACUAAUUUUAUUACUUUUGAUUGAACUCAAAGUUCUGUCAAAAAUUUCCUCUCUGUAAAAUACAUUUCCUUACCCAACUUUCACAUUGGGAAAAUAAUUUUUCCUACAUGUAACUCCUCUUUAAAAUGCUUCUUUGUCAUUUCAAAUUGAAAUCUCAGUUUUGCCAUGGGAAGAGAGUUUUCCAAAAUUCCUCUCUCCCAACAGGACUAUAUGCUCUAUUCAUUUUUUUUGAUAUUCAUAUACAAAUUGUUCCCAUACUCUAGUGGUUGUCUGAGCAUAGUAGAAUUGAAAAAUAAAUUAGUGUAGUUAUCCAGAACAUUUACAUUUAAUGUUGUGACAAAAGCCAGAGAUUUUGGCCUGAACAGCCACAGCGAUUUUCUAAACUGAUCAAAUCCAGUGGAAGGUUGCUCAAUUUUUCAUAUCUUAGAGGCAAAAAAAUCUAAUAUAAAAAUUAAGAUGUUAAAAGAGAGGCAUAACUGAGGUUUUAAUUGGUCAAAAAGUAGAGUGUACCCAGAGCUAGGUGCAGCCACCUUCAGAUCCUGAACUAGCCCUCCUGAGUCCUUUAUUCCUUUUCUGCAGGCCCUGGGGGAUCACCCUGCUUUCUUCUCUUGGCAUUUGCCACACCCUGUCUUAUUCAACCCUGUAUUGAAGUUGUUUCUCUUCAAAUCUUUACUGAUAGUUUCUCUAGCUUCCUUCUUUUCUUAAUUCUGCUGAAGAGACUAAUAUGAAUCUUCCAAUCUUUAGUGUAACAUUGAUAAUUAGCUGUGUGGCCUUACAUGAGAUACUUGACCUUUCUGUAGCUCGGUUUCUUCAUAGUCAGUUAAAUGAAGAGAAUGAUGACUACUUCAUAGCAUUGUUCUGGAAAUGAAAUGAGAUGCACUGCAUAUCACUUUUAAAAGGCAUUUAGUAAGUAGUUGUCCUCAACUUUUCCCUCUCAUUUUGUUUCUAUAUGUACAAUUUGAAAGAUGCAGAAUUAUUUUUUAAGUUGUUAAAUAAUAUCAUUUUGUGUCGGUGUGAGAACUGCUGGUUUAAAAAACGUUUUCAUAUGUCUCACCUUAUUUGCUGCUGCCACACUAAUUUGAGUUAGGUAAGAUAAUUAUUUACUAUUCUUCUUUCAGAUAAGGAAAUUAAAUCUCAGGGAGAUAAAGAGAAGCAAGUGUCUAGAUUCAUAAUGCCUUCAACAGCACAGUAGAAAUGGGAGGGAGGUAGUGACACAUUUCCUGUGUUGUGGUGUUUAGUGGAGACACCUCCUCCCUGGGUUGUGGUGUUUAGUGGAGACACCUCCUCCCUGGGUUGUGGUACUGAAAACUAAAGGGUAAAUUCUGCAAAUGUCUCCAAGUGUUGUAGAUCAAAGCCAGGGAAAGCAAUCAGAAGCCAGAUUGCAUUCUAAUGGCUGGGGAGACUUAGGCAACAAAACUCGAUGAAGAAACCACAGCCUGGAAGAAUUCUUUAGAAAGAGCCUAGGUCCCAAGUGGGUACCUUGUGUGGAUUCAGAAAUGAACUAACAAUUUUGAAUGAAAAGGACCAUUAAAAUGUUUCUACCAGGACUAACUACUUUCUUUUGUCAAAUUAGCUCAGGUUAAUUAUAGAGUAGACACUGCCUGAAUCUGUAUUUUUCUAAUUAACAUCAAAAUCCACUAGAAAGACACGAACAUUUAAUGUUGUAUAAUGUAUAUGCAUAUGUGGAAACACUAUUGGAUUUUAUGAACUGAUGAAUAUAUAGGAUUACCUUAUUCCAUGCCAUUCCUUUAACAGAUAUUUCUUGUGUACCUGGGAUGUACCAGGUAUACUUCUUGGUAUAGGAACUAUACCAGCAAAAAUUGUCAUGGAGCUUAUAAUAGAAGAGGUGUUUAUAGCUUAGUAAUAUAAAAAAUCAUACAAGAUCUGUAAUUUUUUUUACAUUAAGAGAAAUAAAAAAUAAAAA